Molecule: ribosomal RNA, 350 nt
Filed under: uncultured bacterium
Lineage: Bacteria
Description: bacterial SSU rRNA
Rfam family: Bacterial small subunit ribosomal RNA
Source: RNAcentral
UGGGGAAUAUUGCACAAUGGGCGAAAGCCUGAUGCAGCGACGCCGCGUGAGCGAAGAAGUAUUUCGGUAUGUAAAGCUCUAUCAGCAGGGAAGAAAAUGACGGUACCUGACUAAGAAGCCCCGGCUAACUACGUGCCAGCAGCCGCGGUAAUACGUAGGGGGCAAGCGUUAUCCGGAUUUACUGGGUGUAAAGGGAGCGUAGGCGGCAAGGCAAGUCUGAUGUGAAAACCCGGGGCUCAACCCCGGGACUGCAUUGGAAACUGCUUAGCUAGAGUGUCGGAGAGGUAAGUGGAAUUCCUAGUGUAGCGGUGAAAUGCGUAGAUAUUAGGAGGAACACCAGUGGCGAAGGC